GACGCACGGGACUUAAAAUCCCGGGAGCCUCGCGGCUCGUGAGGGUUCGAUUCCCUCCCUCGGCACCA
RNAcentral lists this transfer RNA (68 nucleotides) under Peptococcaceae bacterium. RNAcentral's name for it is "tRNA-OTHER". It matches the Rfam family "tRNA", at positions 20 to 71 of the family's 71-position model. Rfam says of the family: Transfer RNA (tRNA) molecules are approximately 80 nucleotides in length. Their secondary structure includes four short double-helical elements and three loops (D, anti-codon, and T loops). The record is from RNAcentral. Lineage: Bacteria; Bacillati; Bacillota; Clostridia; Eubacteriales; Peptococcaceae.